CUACGGAGGAUGCGAGCGUUAUCCGGAUUUAUUGGGUUUAAAGGGAGCGUAGGUGGGAUAUUAAGUCAGCUGUGAAAGUUUGGGGCUCAACCUUAAAAUUGCAGUUGAUACUGGUUUCCUUGAGUACGGUACAGGUGGGCGGAAUUCGUGGUGUAGCGGUGAAAUGCUUAGAUAUCACGAAGAACUCCGAUCGCGAAGGCAGCUCACCGGGCCGGAACUGACACUGAUGCUCGAAAGUGCGGGUAUCAAACAGGAUUAGAUACCCUGGUAGUCCGCACAGUAAACGAUGAAUACUCGCUGUUUGCGAUACACUGUAAGCGGCCAAGCGAAAGCGUUAAGUAUUCCACCUGGGGAGUACGCCGGCAACGGUGAAACUCAAAGGAAUUGGCGGGG
Molecule: ribosomal RNA, 393 nt
Filed under: uncultured bacterium
Lineage: Bacteria
Description: partial 16S ribosomal RNA
Rfam family: Bacterial small subunit ribosomal RNA
Source: RNAcentral